UUGUGUUAGAUAUAUUUAUACUAUUAAUACAAGUCCAAUUGUUUAUAAUUGUCCCUUCAGCAUUCAAAUUGAUGAUUGAAUCUGGUAGCGUUGUGUUUGCGAUGUAGAGAUUGGUUGAUUCUUCGUCAUUACUUGUUACUGAUGUGUAAUUAUAUUCCCACACUGUAUUCUUUAAAUCUUCAGGCAAAACACAACUGGCAUCUG
RNAcentral lists this long non-coding RNA (204 nucleotides) under Mytilus galloprovincialis (Mediterranean mussel). The record is from RNAcentral. Lineage: Eukaryota; Metazoa; Mollusca; Bivalvia; Mytilida; Mytilidae.